UAAUACGAAGGGACCUAGCGUAGUUCGGAAUUACUGGGCUUAAAGAGUUCGUAGGUGGUUAAAAUAGUUGGUGGUGAAAUCCCAGAGCUUAACUCUGGAACUGCCAUCAAAACUUUUUAGCUAGAGUAUGAUAGAGGAAAGUAGAAUUUCUAGUGUAGAGGUGAAAUUCGUAGAUAUUAGAAAGAAUACCAAUUGCGAAGGCAGCUUUCUGGGUCAUUACUGACACUGAGGAACGAAAGCAUGGGUAGCGAAGAGGAUUAGAUACCCUCGUAGUCCAUGCCGUAAACGAUGUGUGCUAGGCGUUGGAAAUUUUAUUUUCAGUGUCGCAGCGAAAGCGAUAAGCACACCGCCUGGGGAGUACGACCGCAAGGUUA
This 374-nucleotide ribosomal RNA is filed under the name uncultured Alphaproteobacteria bacterium. RNAcentral's name for it is "bacterial SSU rRNA". It matches the Rfam family "Bacterial small subunit ribosomal RNA", at positions 521 to 896 of the family's 1533-position model. Lineage: Bacteria; Pseudomonadati; Pseudomonadota; Alphaproteobacteria. The record is from RNAcentral.